GGAGCAUGUGGUUUAAUUCGAAGCAACGCGCAGAACCUUACCAGCCCUUGACAUGCCCGGCUACCUGCAGAGAUGCAGGGUUCCCUUCGGGGACCGGGACACAGGUGCUGCAUGGCUGUCGUCAGCUCGUGUCGUGAGAUGUUGGGUUAAGUCCCGCAACGAGCGCAACCCUCGCCCUUAGUUGCCAGCAUUCAGUUGGGCACUCUAAGGGGACUGCCGGUGAUAAGCCGAGAGGAAGGUGGGGAUGACGUCAAGUCCUCAUGGCCCUUACGGGCUGGGCUACACACGUGCUACAAUGGUGGUGACAGUGGGCAGCGAGCACGCGAGUGUGAGCUAAUCUCCAAAAGCCAUCUCAGUUCGGAUUGCACUCUGCAACUCGAGUGCAUGAAGUUGGAAUCGCUAGUAAUCGCGGAUCAGCAUGCCGCGGUGAAUACGUUCCCGGGCCUUGUACACACCGCCCGUCACACCAUGGGAGUUGGUUUUACCCGAAGGUAGUGCGCUAACCGCAAGGAGGCAGCUAACCACGGUAGGGUCAGCGACUGGGGUGAAGUCGUAACAAGGUAGCCGUAGGGGAACCUGCGGCUGGAUCACCUCCUUUCUAAGGAAGCUGUGGAACUGGUAAGACGAUCGGCACAUGUCCUCGGACAUGGCCCGAUAUGAACCUUCCCGUGCUUUUUAGAACAUAGAUGGCGCCAGUCAGGUGACCAUCGAAACGUAAUACGCCGCGAUGACUUCGGUCACGACGGUAUGGCGAGCUUUCGCCGUCCACGUUUCUCUUUCUUCAAAAGGAUAUCGAACCAUGGGUUUGCGCUCGCGCGCUGUUCGCACCUUCGGUGCUGCGCUCCGCGAGGGCGCCGGACGACCGGCGACGGCCUCUGGCCUGUAUGGGCGACCCUUUCCGAGGUUUUGCUUAGGAUUGGCGUCGACGCAGAGAGAUGGGCCCGUAGCUCAGUUGGUUAGAGCACACGCUUGAUAAGCGUGGGGUCGGAAGUUCAAGUCUUCCCGGGCCCACCAUUUGCACCAGCAAAUGAGGUUUGCUGUAGCGAAUUGUGGUUUGUUUGGGUUUACCUGAUCCUGGCGGUUUGCUGUCAGGUGUUUGCGAUGGUUGGGGCUGUAGCUCAGCUGGGAGAGCACCUGCUUUGCAAGCAGGGGGUCAGCGGUUCGAUCCCGCUCAGCUCCACCAAAUCUUGUCCUGACGCUGUCGCGCUCUUCGAGCGCACGCUUCGGACGGACCGGCCAACGAUGGCCGACGGCCUCUGGCCUGUAUUUGGUGGAUCGUUGCUGGCGGUGAAAAAAGAUAUCCUUUGAAGAAAUAAAAGUUUUGCAUCGGCUUAUGGCUGAUGCGUGUUCUGCAUACAUUGUGAAGAGAAGAUUGAUCUGGAGGCUUCCAGGUGUUUUGGGUUCUGCCCAAGGCGUCCGAGCCCAGUUCCUGUGAACCCAUGGAUGGCCUAGCCGGCCGGAUGUGGUGGAGGGAUUGGAGGUAGGUAGGAAGCUUGUCGCUCUGGAUCGUCAGCGUAAACCGCAUAGCGGUUUAUCGCGUGUUGUUCGUUGCCUUCGGGCAUCGUCUGACGGACGAUCGGAUUACCGUUGCCUGACCGCGCGGUAUCGGAUCAUAUCUCGAGAAGCUGGUCUUAAGACAGGCUGCAAGCGAGCUGCUCGGCGUAGCUCCAAUAAAGCAGACCUGUCGAACACGUUAAUGGCAUUGUUGGAUUGACUGGGUUGUAAAAGGUAACCCGGUCUGUUGCCGUUCCUUAUGGGGCGGGCAACGAGACGAUGAGCAUUGGCAAUGAGAACGAUUAAGUGUCGUAAGGGCAUUUGGUGGAUGCCUUGGCAUGCACAGGCGAUGAAGGACGUGAUACGCUGCGAAAAGCCGUGGGGAGCUGCGAAUGAGC
This 1892-nucleotide small RNA is filed under the name Rhizobium leguminosarum. RNAcentral describes it as "bacterial SSU rRNA". The stretch from base 1 to 598 matches the Rfam family "Bacterial small subunit ribosomal RNA", at positions 934 to 1533 of the family's 1533-position model. Lineage: Bacteria; Pseudomonadati; Pseudomonadota; Alphaproteobacteria; Hyphomicrobiales; Rhizobiaceae. The record is from RNAcentral.